This 324-nucleotide unclassified non-coding RNA is filed under the name uncultured Hypocreales. RNAcentral describes it as "sequence contains ITS1". The stretch from base 1 to 105 matches the Rfam family "5.8S ribosomal RNA", at positions 50 to 154 of the family's 154-position model. Lineage: Eukaryota; Fungi; Ascomycota; Sordariomycetes; Hypocreales. The record is from RNAcentral.
GAAAUGCGAUAAGUAAUGCGAAUUGCAGAAUUCAGUGAAUCAUCGAAUCUUUGAACGCACAUUGCGCCCGCCAGUAUUCUGGCGGGCAUGCCUGUCUGAGCGUCAUUUCACCACUCGCACCCGGCCUCGCGCCGGGGGCGGCGUUGGGGAUCGGCCGCCCGUCACUGGGAGGCCGGCCCCUAAAUGGAGUGGCGACCGCGCCGUAGCCUCCUCUGCGUAGUAGUAAACUCACCUCGCAGGCGGAGAGCGGUGCGGCCCGCCGUAAAACCCCCAACCCAUCACUAGGUUGACCUCAGAUCAGGUAGGAAUACCCGCUGAACUUAA